Molecule: long non-coding RNA, 1819 nt
Organism: Mus musculus (house mouse)
Lineage: Eukaryota; Metazoa; Chordata; Mammalia; Rodentia; Muridae
Product: predicted gene, 31065
Exons: 4
Source: RefSeq, a predicted model, not a curated record
CACCUGCCUCUACCUCCGAGUGCUGGGAUUAAAGGAGUGCUCCACAGCCUUCCAGCUUCACCUGCAGGUCUUAACUGUGCGCCCUCAGGCCCCACAGCAAGCGCUGGUGAGAGUUUUCUGCACAGAGGGUACUCGGUGCUUUCUCCCAGGAAACCCACUUAGCCUCUCCGCUCUGUCUCUUCUGACUGGCACUCCUUCCUUCACACCUGCCCUUUGUUGCUCCUUUUCCUGAGCACAGACCUGACACCUAGAGGUCGCUUAUCAAGAUGUAGCCCUUAACUGCAAGUGUUGAAGAUGCUGUCCCACUGACUCACGCCUAGGAGGGACAGUGGCCUGACUAACUCAGGCCUAUUGAGAGGUGGCUAUCUCAAUCUGCUUUCUCUUGCCAACAACUCAUUGCUGCAGACAAGGUGAGGGAAAGAGAAGGGAUUUUAUUUGGUUUGGAGUUCUGGUUUACUGUCAUGGACCACAUCUGGUGAUGGCUUUUGUGUUGGCAGUGUCCCAAGGAGCAAGGCGGCGUGGCCAUGUUCAAGGGAAAGGAGAUCCUAGCUGUGCCCUUGGCUGUCCUCUGCUACUCUCAUUUAGAGAUUUGCCUGGACUAAGCCCUGAGGGACAAAGCCCACGGAGAGCCAUUUCUCUUUGGAAGCCUGCGUUCUUCCCCAAGCCUACCAGCUGUAAGCAGAUGGACUUCUCUUCCCGUGGCUUCAGUAUUUGGUCAUGGAUGCAAGAGAGGUCUCUCAGCGGCCUGGUGAGAGCUCCGCAGUUAAGAGCACUGGCUGGACGGACAAUCAGGAGGAUCAGAGUUUGGAUCCCAGAACUCACAUAAGAAACCAGGUGUCCUGUGCAUGCCUCUAAUGCCUGCUCCAAGAGUGAGCGUGGAGACAGGAGGAUCACUGGGACUUGUUUUCCAGCCUAACUGAGAAAAUGGGAGUCUCACGUUCAGGGGGAGAUAUAUAUCACCUCAGAGGAGCAGCUCAAGAAUAAUAAGGAAAGUAGAGCUGCUGCUGAUUCCCUCCUCUGGACUCCUCGGAUGUACACGCUCACACCCACACCCACCCACACAUACACACACCCCACCCCCACACAGCCCACACAUGCCUACACACCUACACCCAUAUGCCCCCCCAUACCCACAAUGCCUACCUAACACCCAUAUCCACACCCACACCCACCCACAAACUCAUACCCAUAUGCAACUUCCCCCACACCUACCACAUACACAGACCACAUACACACACACAUACACACACACUUAACUACCACAUAUGCAAACAGACCACACACACAUAUACAUACAUAUACCACACCACACACAUAAACCACACACAUACAUAUACACACAUAUACAUAUACACAACACACACGGAUAACACACACACACACACACCACACCACAUACAAAAAAACCACAGAGACACACACAUAUAUAUACACACAUACCACACCACACACAUACACAUAUAUACUACACUCAACACUAUACACACACAUACCAUACCACACGCACCACACAUCCAGUCUACAAACACACAUACCACACCACAUCCCACCAUCACUCCCACCCUCCACCCCUCUACACACAUACAUACACAUACCACAUACACCACACACACACACAGACCACACAGACCAUAGACCCACACAUACACAAACCAUACCCACCUCAUAUACACACAUAAUCAGACACACACAUACAACACCAUACUCCCAUCACCUCACACCACAUACACACACACACACACACACACACACACAUAAACACAUACACACACAUGCACACACAGAGCAAUAUUAUUCUGCCUAAAAAAAUAAAAUAAAA